UACGGGGGGAGCAAGCGUUUGUUCGGAUUUACUGGGCGUAAAGGGCGCGUAGGCGGUCGUGACAAGUCACUUGUGAAAUCUCCGGGCUUAACUCGGAACGGUCAAGUGAUACUGUCGGACUAGAGUACAGAAGGGGCAACUGGAAUUCUCGGUGUAGCGGUGAAAUGCGUAGAUAUCGAGAGGAACACCUGCGGCGAAGGCGGGUUGCUGGGCUGAUAACUGACGCUGAGGCGCGAAAGCCAGGGGAGCGAACGGGG
Molecule: ribosomal RNA, 257 nt
Filed under: uncultured bacterium
Lineage: Bacteria
Description: partial 16S ribosomal RNA
Rfam family: Bacterial small subunit ribosomal RNA
Source: RNAcentral